AGACCCGAAACCCGGUGAUCUAGCCAUGGGCAGGUUGAAGGUUGGGUAACACUAACUGGAGGACCGAACCGACUAAUGUUGAAAAAUUAGCGGAUGACCUGUGGCUGGGGGUGAAAGGCCAAUCAAACCGGGAGAUAGCUGGUUCUCCCCGAAAGCUAUUUAGGUAGCGCCUCGUGAAUUCAUCUCCGGGGGUAGAGCACUGUUUCGGCUAGGGGGCCAUCCCGGCUUACCAACCCGAUGCAAACUGCGAAUACCGGAGAAUGUUAUCACGGGAGACACACGGCGGGUGCUAACGUCCGUCGUGAAGAGGGAAACAACCCAGACCGCCAGCUAAGGUCCCAAAGUCAUGGUUAAGUGGGAAACGAUGUGGGAAGGCCCAGACAGCCAGGAUGUUGGCUUAGAAGCAGCCAUCAUUUAAAGAAAGCGUAAUAGCUCACUGGUCGAGUCGGCCUGCGCGGAAGAUGUAACGGGGCUAAACCAUGCACCGAAGCUGCGGCAGCGAACGUAUCACCCAAGACAACUUUACGGAGUUGACGAUUGACGGAGCGAAGCGACGUCAAAGCGUUCAUUAAAGUCGAGUUGGCUUAGGGAUACGUUCGUUGGGUAGGGGAGCGUUCUGUAAGCCUGUGAAGGUGUGUCGUGAGGCAUGCUGGAGGUAUCAGAAGUGCGAAUGCUGACAUAAGUAACGAUAAAGCGGGUGAAAAGCCCGCUCGCCGGAAGACCAAGGGUUCCUGUCCAACGUUAAUCGGGGCAGGGUGAGUCGACCCCUAAGGCGAGGCCGAAAGGCGUAGUCGAUGGGAAACGGGUUAAUAUUCCCGUACUUGGUGUUACUGCGAAGGGGGGACGGAGAAGGCUAUGUUGGCCGGGCGACGGUUGUCCCGGUUUAAGCGUGUAGGUGUGUGUUCCAGGUAAAUCCGGUUCACUUUAACACUGAGGCGUGACGACGAGGCACUACGGUGCUGAAGCAACAAAUGCCCUGCUUCCAGGAAAAGCCUCUAAGCAUCAGGUAACACGAAAUCGUACCCCAAACCGACACAGGUGGUCAGGUAGAGAAUACCAAGGCGCUUGAGAGAACUCGGGUGAAGGAACUAGGCAAAAUGGUGCCGUAACUUCGGGAGAAGGCACGCUGACACGUAGGUG
Molecule: ribosomal RNA, 1140 nt
Filed under: Salmonella enterica
Lineage: Bacteria; Pseudomonadati; Pseudomonadota; Gammaproteobacteria; Enterobacterales; Enterobacteriaceae
Also listed under: 1 other name
Description: partial 23S ribosomal RNA
Rfam family: Bacterial large subunit ribosomal RNA
Source: RNAcentral